Bos taurus (domestic cattle) is the source of this 72-nucleotide non-coding RNA. NCBI's taxonomy places the organism in Eukaryota, Metazoa, Chordata, Mammalia, Artiodactyla, Bovidae. The record is from Rfam.
UCCCUCAUAACUCAGUUGGUAAAGAAUCUGCCUGCAAUGCAGGAAACCUGGGUUCAAUUCCUGGGUUGGGAA